Pelobates cultripes (western spadefoot toad) is the source of this 337-nucleotide non-coding RNA. The record is from the annotation of a GenBank genome assembly. Lineage: Eukaryota; Metazoa; Chordata; Amphibia; Anura; Pelobatidae.
CAAUACUUCAGAGACAACGACACACCAGAGGUUUCCCCGAUAACCAUAUGGGAAGCGCAUAAGAGCGUCAUUCGCGGAACACUCAUCCGCAUUGCCUCGCAAAAACGGAAAGCGAAUAUGAUCGAGAUGACUAACCUAUAUCAAAAGAUUUCAAAGCUGGAAAGUCAACACAAAAGAUCCCAACUACAUGAAACAUACGGGGAAUUGAUGGAACAUAGAAGGGCACUCAAGAGACUCAUCACAAAAAAACAUCUUCGAAAUCUCCAACGCACGAAGGGUUUCUACUAUGCGCACGCCAAUAAAGGGGGGAAAUACCUGGCCAGAUUAUUAAAAGGCC